Molecule: ribosomal RNA, 159 nt
Filed under: Caloplaca stillicidiorum
Lineage: Eukaryota; Fungi; Ascomycota; Lecanoromycetes; Teloschistales; Teloschistaceae
Description: 5.8S ribosomal RNA
Rfam family: 5.8S ribosomal RNA
About the family: 5.8S ribosomal RNA (5.8S rRNA) is a component of the large subunit of the eukaryotic ribosome. It is transcribed by RNA polymerase I as part of the 45S precursor that also contains 18S and 28S rRNA.
Source: RNAcentral
AAAACUUUCAACAACGGAUCUCUUGGUUCUGGCAUCGAUGAAGAACGCAGCGAAAUGCGAUAAGUAAUGUGAAUUGCAGAAUUCAGUGAAUCAUCGAAUCUUUGAACGCACAUUGCGCCNUUUGGUAUUCCGAAGGGCAUGCCUGUUCGAGCGUCAUUA